GGAUCAAAGAAUCGGUCAUGCCUUGGUAUGUACUGGUUUUAUUGGUUCUCACCUUCUAAAGAACCAUAAUGUCAUUUAUUUGAUGUUAUGGGGAAUUAGGACUGUUACCUUGAAAAAAUUAGAGUGUUUAAAGCAAGCUUACGCUUGAAUACAUUAGCAUGGAAUAAUGAAAUAGGACAU
RNAcentral lists this ribosomal RNA (180 nucleotides) under uncultured Glomeromycotina. Its description in RNAcentral is "partial small subunit ribosomal RNA". The stretch from base 46 to 180 matches the Rfam family "Eukaryotic small subunit ribosomal RNA", at positions 693 to 830 of the family's 1831-position model. The record is from RNAcentral. Lineage: Eukaryota; Fungi; Glomeromycota.